Molecule: ribosomal RNA, 433 nt
Filed under: uncultured bacterium
Lineage: Bacteria
Description: partial 16S ribosomal RNA
Rfam family: Bacterial small subunit ribosomal RNA
Source: RNAcentral
AACGAACGCUGGCGGCAUGCCUAACACAUGCAAGUCGAACGAGACCUUCGGGUCUAGUGGCGCACGGGUGCGUAACGCGUGGGAACCUGCCCUUAGGUUCGGAAUAACUCCCCGAAAGGGGUGCUAAGACCGGAUAAUGUCUUCGGACCAAAGAUUUAUCGCCUUUGGAUGGGCCCGCGUUGGAUUAGCUAGUUGGUAGGGUAAAAGCCUACCAAGGCGACGAUCCAUAGCUGGUCUGAGAGGAUGAUCAGCCACACUGGCGCUGAGACACGGCCCAGACUCCUACGGGACGCAGGAGUGGGGAAUAUUGGACGAGGGGCGAAAGCCUGAUCCAGCAAUGCCGCGGAAGUGAUGAAGGCCUUAGGGUUGUAAAGCUCUUUUACCCGGGAUGAUAAUGACAGUACCGGGAGAAUAAGCUCCGGCUAACUCCGUG